UGCCAGCCGCCGCGGUAAUACGAAGGGUGCAAGCGUUGUUCGGAAUUACUGGGCGUAAAGCGCGCGCAGGCGGUUUGAUAAGUUGGGAGUGAAAUCCCGGGGCUCAACCUCGGAAUUGCCUUUGAUACUGUUGGUCUUGAAUACGGUUGAAGUAGGCGGAAUGUAGCAUGUAGCGGUGAAAUGCAUAGAGAUGCUACAGAACACCGAUCGCGAAGGCAGCUUACUAAGCCGAUAUUGACGCUCAGGCACGAAAGCGUGGGGAGCGAACAGGAUUAGAUA
RNAcentral lists this ribosomal RNA (279 nucleotides) under uncultured bacterium. RNAcentral describes it as "partial 16S ribosomal RNA". It matches the Rfam family "Bacterial small subunit ribosomal RNA", at positions 506 to 784 of the family's 1533-position model. The record is from RNAcentral.